This 249-nucleotide ribosomal RNA is filed under the name uncultured Actinomycetales bacterium. Its description in RNAcentral is "partial 16S ribosomal RNA". It matches the Rfam family "Bacterial small subunit ribosomal RNA", at positions 84 to 334 of the family's 1533-position model. The record is from RNAcentral. Lineage: Bacteria; Bacillati; Actinomycetota; Actinomycetes; Actinomycetales.
GGGGUGCUCGAGUGGCGAACGGGUGAGUAACACGUGAGUAACCUGCCCUUGACUUUGGGAUAACUUCAGGAAACUGGGGCUAAUACCGGAUAGGAGCUCCUGCUGCAUGGUGGGGGUUGGAAAGUUUCGGCGGUUGGGAAUUGACUCGCGGCUUAUCAGCUUGUUGGUGGGGUAGUGGCUUACCAAGGCUUUGACGGGUAGCCGGCCUGAGAGGGUGACCGGCCACAUUGGGACUGAGAUACGGCCCAG